This 2979-nucleotide ribosomal RNA is filed under the name Nitrososphaerota archaeon. Its description in RNAcentral is "Thaumarchaeota archaeon (sponge metagenome) 23S ribosomal RNA". It matches the Rfam family "Archaeal large subunit ribosomal RNA". Lineage: Archaea; Thermoproteati; Nitrososphaerota. The record is from RNAcentral.
UUGCCGGUGUAAAGACGCCAAUAGGUGAAUUGCUAGGCUUGAGGAGAGAUGAAGGACGUGACAAGCUGCGAUAAGCUCGGGGUAGGCGCACGUAUCCUAUGAUCCCGAGAUUUCCGAAUGAGUAUCUUGCACUUUAGUGCACUCCGACAUCGGAGGUCGAACCGUGGGAAUUGAAGCAUCUUAGUACCACGAGGAAGAGAAAUCAACAGAGAUUUCCCAAGUAGUGGCGAACGAAAAGGAAAUAGCCCAAACUGAAUCCUUCGGGAGAUGUGGUGUUUUGCCGCAGCAAUCACGGACUUCCGGAAGACAGUCGAAGUGGCCUGGAAAGGCCCGGCGAAGAGGGUGAUACCCCCGUAGACGAAGUGGGAAGGAGUCUAGUUGCGGCCGAGUAGCUGUCCUUGGUAGUGGGCAGUGAAUAUGGGUGAAAGUAGCAUCCAAGGCUAAAUAUCUCUCAAGACCGAUAGUGGACUAGUACCGUGAGGGAAAGCUGAAAAGUACCCUGGAAGGGGGGUGAAAAGUGCAUGAAACCUAUUGGUUACAGACGUGGGUGGCAUGAAAGGUGUUUUCUGGGCCGAGUGGUUCCAGCAAUGGGAUCCAAGUGUCUAGACUUUAGACGCCAGUGUCAUCCGUUCCGUCUCGAAACACGGGCCAGGGAGCUGACUGUCAUGGCAAGAUUAAGCCUAAAAAGGCGUAGUCGAAGGGAAACCGAGUUCUCGCAACAUUAGUGAGGAGAAGCGUGUGAAAGUGCGUAGAGUCAUGGCGGUCAGGCUAGAAGCCAGUCGAUCUAUUCCUGAGCAAGAUGAAGGCGGGCGAAAGCCCGCUGGAGGUCUGCAGAGGUUCUGACGUGCAAAUCGUUCUUAUGACUUGGGAAUAGGGGUCAAAAACCAAUCUAGACUGGCGCUCGCUAGUUCCAACCGAAGCGUCUCGCAGGGCGUGCUCUGUGGAGAUGGUGUUUCCGGUAGAGCACUGAUAGGGUGGCGCGGGGAGUAAAAUCCUCACCAUCCAUUCAAACUCCGAACGGAUGCACAUCGAAGAAGCAGGGACACGGGUUCAUGUGGCGUAAGGCUCAUGACCGAGAGGGGUUUAACCCAGACCGGAGUUAAGGUCCCCAAAUUUCUGCUAAGUGUCAAGCUAAAGAGCGUGUUCGCGCCAAGACAGCAGGGAGGUAAGCUCAGAAGUAGCUAUCCUUCAAAAAGUGUGUAACAACUUACCUGCCGAGGGCGGAUGCCUCAAAAAUGGACGGGGCUAAAGCAGAGUACCGAUACUUUGGACAGGCACCGAAAGGUGUCUCGUGGUAGGUUGGCGUAGUGAUUGGGCAGAAGCAGGGUGGUGACAUCCUGUGGACCGGUUUCUAUUGCAGAUCCUGGCGGCAGUAACAGCAUAGUAUUGUGAGAACCAAUACCACCGAAAGCGCAAGGGUUUCCAGGCAAUGCGCUAUCAGCCUGGAGGUAGUCGAUCCUAAGAGGCGCCUCAACAGAGUGCCUCGAAUGGGAAACUGGUUAAUAUUCCAGUACCUGCAUCAAGCGUUUGAACCGUAUGGCUCGCUUCCGGAUAGGGGAAGUAUAACCGUCGUUAUAUCUAACCGUUCGAGGGCCGGGGAGUGUCGUAAUGACGAGAACCGGUCCGAGGCGGGAACGGCCUCGCGUCAGCGGGGUUUUCCCGAUUCCAGGAGACCGUGAAAGGCCGUGCGGCUAGCGAGAUGCAGCUCGUACCGAGAACCGACACAGGUGCGCUGGCUUAGAAAGCUAAGGUGCUACGGGUAUACCGUAUGGCGAGGGAAUUCGGCAAAAUAGUCCUGGAGCUUCGGUAGAAGGGAUGCCUGCAGUCUUCAUGAAGAAUGGGGACCGCAGGUCGCAGUGACAAGGGGGUUUCGACUGUUUAAUAAAAACACAGGCGACUGCUAGUCCGAAAGGAUGUGUAUAGUCGCUGAAUCCUGGCCGGUGCCGGUACCUAAAACUUGGGUCCAACCGAGCUAAGGGCCGGUUAACGCCGGGAGUAACUCUGACUCUCUUAAGGUAGCCAAAUGCCUUGUCGGGUAAGUUCCGACGCGCAUGAAUGGAACAACGAGAGCCCCACUGUCCCCGCCUACAACCCGGUGAAGCCACAUAAGGUGGACGAACAGUCCAUCAUCUUCCAUCGGGGAGAGAAGACCCCGUGGAGUUUUACUGCAGCUUGUGCCUGUAGUAUAGUAGGAAUUGCACAGGGUAUCUGGGAGCCAUGCCCGACGUUCUCCGGGACGUCGGUGAAGCAACGAUGUAACACCAGACUCUUUCUGCAGUACUACUUAUCCGUUGAAGAGCGGAGACAAGUGCAGGUGGGCAGUUCGGCUGGGGCGGCACCCCUUUGAAAAGAUAUCAAAGGGGCCCAAAGGUCAGUUCAAACGGGUCAGAAAUCCGUUGAAGAGGGCAAAGCCAAAAACUGGCCUGACUGGGUUUCCAAACGCACGGAAUCCAGAGACGAAAGUCGGGCUUAGCGAUCCUUCGUGUGCCCGCUAUUGGGGCCCGGAGGUGACAGAAAAAUUACCCCAGGGAUAACAGGCUCGUCGCGGGCGAGAGCUCCUAUCGACCCCGCGGUUUGGUACCUCGAUGUCGGCUUUUCCUAUCCUGGUCCUGCAGCAGGGGCCAAGGGUGAGGCUGCUCGCCUAUUAAAAGGGAACAUGAGCUGGGUUUAGACCGUCGUGAGACAGGUCGGUCUCUGCCUGAUGGAAGCGUGAAUAACUGAGGGGAAGUUGCUCCCAGUACGAGAGGAACAGAGCAGCGUGGCCACUGGUUUACCGGUUGUCCGACAGGGCAGGCCGGGCAGCUAAGCCGUUUAAGCUAAGUGCUGAAUGCAUCUAAGCACGAAUCUUAUCCCGAGACAUGUUAUUCUAUCAUAGAUGAAGGUCGGCAGCAGAAGACUGCGUUGAUAGGAAGGUGGUGUAGAUUACAAGCUUCGGCGAGUGAUGAGCCAGCCUUUACUAAUAGACCGAUACACCGCUCA